GCAUUCCGCCUGGGGAUUACGCUCGCAAGCAUUCAUACCUCAAAGGAAUUGACGGGGGCCCGCACAAGCGGUGGAGCAUGUGGUCUAAUUCGAAGCAACGCGCAGAACCUUACCAUCCCUUGACAUGGCAUGUUACCUCGAGAGAUCGGGGAUCCUCUUCGGAGGCGUGCACACAGGUGCUGCAUGGCUGUCGUCAGCUCGUGUCGUGAGAUGUUGGGUUAAGUCCCGCAACGAGCGCAACCCACGUCCUUAGUUGCCAUCAUUCAGUUGGGCACUCUAGGGAGACUGCCGGUGAUAAGCCGCGAGGAAGGUGUGGAUGACGUCAAGUCCUCAUGGCCCUUACGGGAUGGGCUACACACGUGCUACAAUGGCGGUGACAGUGGGACGCGAAACCGCGAGGUUGAGCAAAUCCCCAAAAGCCGUCUCAGUUCGGAUUGCACUCUGCAACUCGGGUGCAUGAAGGCGGAAUCGCUAGUAAUCGUGGAUCAGCACGCCACGGUGAUACGUUCCCGGG
Molecule: ribosomal RNA, 514 nt
Filed under: uncultured Methylobacterium sp.
Lineage: Bacteria; Pseudomonadati; Pseudomonadota; Alphaproteobacteria; Hyphomicrobiales; Methylobacteriaceae
Description: bacterial SSU rRNA
Rfam family: Bacterial small subunit ribosomal RNA
Source: RNAcentral